GUGACUAUUGGGUUCCUCUGUUUUCCCCUGUUUCAACCCUAAUUCCCCAGAAAAUUCGAUCUUUCCUUGCUUCUUUCCCUGAGAUAAUUCUGGGUUUGCGGCUCUGACUCCGUUGGAUUAAAGGGUUUUCUUCAAAGACGCAUUUUGGUUUCGAUAGAGGAUAAAAGUUUCCUCUUUUGAGUCGGCUUUGGGGUUGAUGGAGGCUCGUGUGGGGAACAAGUUUCGGCUCGGACGCAAAAUCGGGAGCGGUUCUUUUGGAGAGAUCCAUCUCGGUACUCAUCUUCAAACGAAUGAAGAAGUCGCCAUCAAGCUUG
Long non-coding RNA from Brassica oleracea var. oleracea, 314 nucleotides. RefSeq lists it as uncharacterized. The transcript is spliced from 2 exons. The record is from RefSeq and is a predicted model, not a curated record. Lineage: Eukaryota; Viridiplantae; Streptophyta; Magnoliopsida; Brassicales; Brassicaceae.